RNAcentral lists this ribosomal RNA (699 nucleotides) under uncultured bacterium. RNAcentral's name for it is "bacterial SSU rRNA". It matches the Rfam family "Bacterial small subunit ribosomal RNA", at positions 8 to 679 of the family's 1533-position model. The record is from RNAcentral.
AGAGUUUGAUCCUGGCUCAGGACGAACGCUGGCGGCGUGCUUAACACAUGCAAGUCGAACGAGGGCCCGGAGCUUGCUCUGGUGACCCGAGUGGCGGACGGGUGAGUAACACGUGACCAACCUACCUUCGGGAGGGGGACAACCUGGGGAAACCUGGGCUAAUACCGCAUAUCGUCCACGGGCCGCAUGGCCUGUGGAUAAAAGGGAGCCUCUGCUUGCAUGCUCUCACCCGAAGAGGGGGUCGCGGCGUAUCAGCUAGUUGGUGGGGUAAUGGCCUACCAAGGCAUCGACGCGUAGCGGGUCUGAGAGGACGACCCGUCACAUUGGGACUGAGAUACGGCCCAGACUCCUACGGGAGGCAGCAGUGGGGAAUAUUGCGCAAUGGCCGAAAGGUUGACGCAGCGACGCCGCGUGUGGGAGGACGCCCUUCGGGGUGUAAACCACUGUCAGGGGGGAAGAACUUCGCAGGUGUGAAUAGCGCUUGCGGUUGACGGUACCCCCAGAGGAAGCGCCGGCUAACUCCGUGCCAGCAGCCGCGGUAAGACGGAGGGCGCAAGCGUUGUUCGGAAUUACUGGGCGUAAAAGGCAGGUAGGUGGUCUGUUAAGUCUUCUGUGAAAACCCGGGGCUCAACCCCGCGGAAUGCAGGUGAAACUGGCAGACUUGAGACCGGUAGAGGCUAGCGGAAUUCCUGGUGCAGC